Leopardus geoffroyi (Geoffroy's cat) is the source of this 620-nucleotide long non-coding RNA. RefSeq lists it as uncharacterized. The record is from RefSeq and is a predicted model, not a curated record. The transcript is spliced from 4 exons. Lineage: Eukaryota; Metazoa; Chordata; Mammalia; Carnivora; Felidae.
GGCUGAAGAAGCUCUGGAUGGCAGAAUUCCACUCAGCGUCAUUUAGGCCCCUCCUCCUCCCAGAAGCCAGCUAGGAAUGAUCCUCCUCGCCUGAAACUCCCACUCCUUUUUCUGAACUCAUUGUGAAGUUGGUGGGUGACGUAUUGGGAGAGCAGAGCAGUGAGAGGAAGUGGGGCAUUGCCUGGAUUUCACGGAUUUACCUCCAUUUGUACCCCCAUCUCCACCUCCUUAACGUACUUUAUACGGGCCUCUAUCAUAGGUCUUAUCAAUCCAGCCCAGUCUAAAUUAUAUAAACUCUUCUCUGGCAUAUUUGACAAAGAAUGAAGGAUUUCUGCAGUUUCUCAGUAAUUACUCUUUAAAUAUUAAUAAUUGAGAUAAAGACAAAAGAAGAGAACACUAAAUAAUUUCUACUCACUGGUCCUGUUUCCCCUCUGAAGUCACCCCAAUGCAUAAGGAUUCCAAGACAAAGAAUAUUUGUAGCCACCUAGAAGACUCCUAUGUGCCUCCAUUCAGUGAACACUCACCCAUCAAUGGCAGCCACUAUUCUAGUGAGUUUGCCUGUUUUUGAACUUCAGAGACACUCAGAGUGCAAGUCGGGAGGGACAGAGAAGGAGAGGAAG